RNAcentral lists this transfer-messenger RNA (367 nucleotides) under Candidatus Giovannonibacteria bacterium RIFCSPLOWO2_01_FULL_44_16. It matches the Rfam family "transfer-messenger RNA". From Rfam's summary of the family: Bacterial tmRNA, also known as 10Sa RNA or SsrA, is named for its dual tRNA and mRNA-like properties. Its role is to liberate the mRNA from a stalled ribosome. RNAcentral also lists the same sequence under 1 other name. The record is from RNAcentral. Lineage: Bacteria; Candidatus Giovannoniibacteriota.
GGGAGUGAUCGGCCUCGAGGACUUGUACGCGGCCGCGCGCUCAGGCAGAGCAUGCAAGGUUUGCUCUUAAAUCUUUCUUUGCAACUGAUAAGUGCAAACUUAUUCAAUGCGUUCAAGCCUGCGCCAGCAAUGGCAUUUGCUUAAUGCUAAAUUCCUCCCGAUUUAUCGGGAGGACAUCCGAACUUUCGAUUCUCGCUGGAAUGUAAGGGUGUAAUAUUAGCGAGGCAAUGUUUUGUAAGCCCGACAAAACAUUCGAAUAUGGGCAAAAGCCCCCGUCCACGCCAGUAGGCGGGACGAGGCAACUAAGCCUGUCAACCGCCGGCCUCAAACAUAUCCGACCCGGGUUCGAUUCCCGGCACUUCCACUA